Long non-coding RNA from Numida meleagris (helmeted guineafowl), 5754 nucleotides. RefSeq lists it as uncharacterized. Lineage: Eukaryota; Metazoa; Chordata; Aves; Galliformes; Numididae. The transcript is spliced from 5 exons. The record is from RefSeq and is a predicted model, not a curated record.
UGUGGGCGGCGGGGGCCGUGGGGCAGGAGGGAGCACUUCCUGAGGAGAAAGUGUGUCCUCGGGGAGACGGAGUGGGAAUGCACAGUGGUGUGAGGGAAAUCAAGGAAAUGCGUUGGGGGGGGGUUUAAAGCCGUGCCACGGAGAUGUGGUGGGAGAGAGCCGGGGUCACGCAUCGCUUUGCUCUCCUCACGCGCCCUGCUCUUCUGAAGUACAGCCCCACUUCUCCCAUCCUUUGGUACCCACUCACCUUUACUAACACACAACUGACCCAAACCCACCCACGCAUCCGCCCAAAGGCUCUCACUGUGCCGUGCCCAGCGCUCCCAACCGCUCUCCGGCCAGGCCCCGCUGUGCCAAACCACCAGACAACACCUGGGGCGGGAAGUUGUCCGCAGCACAGACCGCCGGCAUCUGUUUAUCAUUGUGAGAGCCGCGGCAAAGCGUCCUCUGGAUCCUGAGCUGCAAGAGCAAAGGAAACGGUUGGGGAGGUGAAAUUGUUUUGGGGGGGAUUAGGAGAGCAUUAAUGAGCGACUGGAACAAAUUAGUGAUGGAGCGGUGGAGACAACAGGAAGGAGUGGAAUGCCAAGGAGUCCUGCAUGCUGGUGGCUGCACGCAGACCAUUCCCCACCAUCAGCUCCAGUGGGGUGGGAUUUGUGCUUUUGCAACUCGCUGCAGUAAAUCACCAGAUUAAAGCGAGCUGCAGCAAGGGCCACUGUAUGCCAAAGUUGUCUGCCCCAGGCUUUUGCCCCGCAAUGUUUUUCAUACAGGUCAGCGGGAUGGAGUGGUGGAGGUGGGUCUGGUGGAUGGUGCCAGCAUCAGCCCAGGCCUCCACACCACCAUAGGUCCUGCUUGUGUUCAGGUCACACCACCUACAGUGGGGGAAGAGCUGUCCACAGAGCUCUGGUGGGAGUAGGAAGGAAGCGGGCAACAGGAGAGAAUGAGCAUUAAGGGAGAGGUGGGAAGGGUGAGGGAGGCCGACACAGGAAGAGAAGGAGCUGUAAAUGGCCAUGGGGGAGAAGAGAAAAAGGAAGCAAAGCGCAAGAACAAGGCACAGUGAACGUGGGUGAUGAAAAAGGGAAAGGACUGUGGAGAGAGAAUCUGAGAAUGGCAUGUAAAUGAAGAGCCAACCAAAGGGAUGCGUUUUGCCCUCAUUCAUACCGAAUAAUACUUACAUGUCUUGUAGCAUGGAGUUCACAUGAAGGCUAGCCAUGUGACUGAUUGUAUUCAGUGUGAAUACAGGGAGCAGAAAAUGGCACAAAGAAAGAAAGGCAGAGAAAGAAUCAGGGCAGAGAACAAAGAAGGACCUGGGUUGUGGGUAAAAUACAAAAAAAUAACGGUAGUCUAAGGGAGGAAAAUAGUGAACAUGGACACACUUGAGCAAAUGCAUGCAAGAUAGAUAACACUUAUUUUGGUUCAGAUGACCACAGUCCUGAGUACAAUUUUCAUCGAAACGUUUGCUUACCCACGUGGAACAGCCAUUGUCAUCCCAUCAGAGACGUUGGCUAUCUCCUGUCCAAGGCUUCGUACUGUCACCCAUCUGCCCUGGUUUCAGCACAGCUUUCACACAAAGCUGGUAACAACAGUGAAGUGGUUCCUGGCUCUUCUCUGUGUCUUCCUUUUUUCCCUUUUUAUUUAUUUUCUGCAAAAUCUCCUCUCUCAUUUGCCUCAGUAGUUUUGAUUGAUUUGUUUGUGGUUUGGAGGGUGGGGGGUUAUUUUGAGAAGAUGGCUAUGUCAGUGGUGUGUCGCUGUUGCAGGGUGAAAAGUUUUUGUGUGGAAAAGAACUACAUUGUGGAGUUUCCCGAAAAUAAGAUGAGAUUGCUCCGGUGUCCUUUGGGGCUGCAGACACCUUGGAUAUUCCUAGAUAAAAUCGUGGUUUGGUGGACAAAUUGGAGCAGGGUGAACUUCUAGAGGGCAGCAAUGAACGUCCAGAAUUGAGCAGGGAAUGCUGUCAGGGUGUAGUAUCCUUUGGAACCACGCAAACAAAGCACUAUCGCGUGGAUACAAGAUUUUGCCAAGUGAACAGAUAUGUGACCGAGGCAGCUUUGAAGCUGUUCCCAAGAAUCCUUCUUGCUUCUGUGGGAUGUCUUAUCUUUCUGUGGAGUUUCUGACUAUGAACCUCGUUAUGCAGUCUUUCAUUCUUGUGCCAUACAGUUGGGUAAGAAAUGCUCAGGUCUCCUGCCAGCAAGGACUCUCCCUGUAUCCAUGAUGCCAUUUACAGGUGUUUCAGCCUUUCCUCUAGAAGAAGUCUUCACUGCCACAGAGAGUUAAUCCUGCUCUGCAGUGUUUAGUUGCUGGAAUUAUUUCAUGUUAAAGGACACUUGUCCUGGGAGACACUGAGCAGCUCACUGAAGGAAGCUGGGGGCAUCUUGCAGCACAGAGCCACAGGAUGGGGAGAGGCACUGCUGUAUGCUGAAAACAGCUGGAAGAAUUUGCUGGCUGCUGCAAUUGCUCCUGUAACACAGGCUGUAGCUGCUUGCUCACUCUCAUUCUCCCAUGAAACCUAAGUUAUGGCCCUGCCUCCUCCUUGCUCUUUUUUUUUUUUUUUUUUUUUUUUUUUUCCAGAGAACUGCAGUUUCUUUCUGUCUUUGGAGGGGAAUCAAGAAUUCCUUGCAGCCUCCUGCUACACGGUUCACCCAUGAAAGGGCCGGGUACAAUCUGAGUGCAUUUAGCUUAGAAAUAAAACUUGGCAAAAAUAAAGCUGUCAUUGGUUUAUUGCUCACAGUGACAAUGAUAUGGUUGCUCACAGGUGUAAAUAAGUGCUUUACUUUCCAGUUUGUGUGCAAGUGCAAUUCAGAGUCUCAGAAAUUACCUGUAAAGGGCUCUGUGACAAUACGGUCUGAGUUCAUACAGUAGAAAAACGCAUGUUUUGUAAGUACUGUUUCCCUCCAUAUUAGCUCUUUCUCUUGGGUUCUCUGGUGUCUUAUGUGGUUUCAGAUCUCCCUGAUGUUAUUUCCACAGGAGGGGCUUUCCCAGUAUCUCCUUCUCGCUCUCACACGCAGAGGCUCUCAGGUGAUGUGUUGUCUGAUGUUGGUGAAGGCUUGAACUCUCAAUGCCUGUCACGUAGAGCAGCUCAGAUACGGUCCCUCUCCUCAGCAACGUAUUUUUGCUUAAAUAACUGAAUUACUACUUUUGUUGUCUGCUAAAUUUGAUUGUUAUUUAGUAAUGUCUUAAACUGAUGACUGUUUUACAUGUAAGCACACGCAGCGUGUGGGAUUGCCCUCAUUUCUUUCAGCGGCGUGGCUGAAACUGGUUGUUUUAAUCUAUCAGACUGAAACUGCAUAUUAUCAAACAAACUGGUCUGUAAAGAAAUAGUGUGUAGCCUCAGUUACUAAUCAUUUGAAGGAAUGCUGAAGGUCACCAUUGAUGGUUCAGUGAUGUGUCUCAUUAGCAAUAUGAGCUUAUGUGCUGUCUGGGCCCCAAACUAGAAGAAAACAGCAUGAAAUCUGGGAGAUGCCGGUCCUUCAUUUGGGUAAAUGUAAGGCUAAUUUGGGUCUGGGCCCUACACAGAGCUCCACUUGGGCAGAUCUAUUUCUGUGUGAUGUGGGUGCAAGGAUUUGUAAGGACUUUACUGCUACGGUGCCUUGGCUCCCACUUCUAGCAUUUAGUGCUAUGUUUACAAAAAAAAAAAAGCACAUGAACCCAACAAACAACAACAGCAACAAAGCCAGAAAUGGCAUUACAGGAAUCAAAACUGCUUUUAUUUUGAGGGUCACUACACUGAGUAGAAUGUUACAAAAAAAGGAUGAACCCAGUAUGGCAUUGCUGAAAAUUCCGGAGUUAGUUUGACACAUGCAAACUGCUGUUGGCUUCAACAGGCUUAUUUAACAUGUUUGUUUCUUUGGGCUUCAGGACGAGUCAAAAUGCAAUGUUGUUAGCCCGUAUCAGUGAGGCUGCAUAUUACAGGCUGUAAGCUGGGAGUUGCAGAAGUGUAUUGACAAAAAAGAGUUUGGCUUUAGCCAGCAAUUAAUCAUGACUAGGACAAGUAACCUCUCCAGAACUCUCUGGUUUUUGUAUUUAUUAAUCUCUGUUCAUAAAAAAAUAUUCCAAAGCAAGCAGUAGCACUCAACGUGGAGAUCUGGGGAAAUAAAUGGCCAAAGCUAUCACACUGUGACAUCUUUGGCAAACCUUUACGCAGUUUUAUAAACAAAUACAGGUGAUGUUCUAUUCUUGGAAUAGCUCUUUUCAUUAGAUGCUCAGUCUUGAAUAAAAUGGUUCAUUCCAUUUUUCCAUGUUUUUAUUGGGCAUCUAAUAGUGAAUCCAGCGUCAUCACGGUGGUGUACCGUAUCAGCCAUGCGCAUCAAUACAUUCAAGUUUUUUGGAAUGUUUCUGCUUUUUUUUUAAUGUGUAUAGCUCAAGAAAGACGGAAAUCACUUCAAACUGCGUUAUGGGCUUAAAAUUUGAAGGAGCUAAUUUUUCUGGAUCUCAAAAAUCAUAGGAAAUGAAGUCAUUGUCUACAGUCUUUCUCUUCUUUUUAAGAAGUACAAAAUGGGCAAGAGGACUACAACAGCUGAGUGUUAUUUUGUUUGCUUUCCACACCAACAUUUGAGCAUUUUCUUCUUUUACUUUUUAUGAAAUAUGCAUGUUCAGUUAGGAAUAGAUAUGCUGAAAACAGCUAAAAUUUCACCCUGUUUUGGACCCAGGGCCCAAGAAGAGGCUGCUGAUGAUUGAAAACGCUGGCACAUACCAAAUCAAGGUUACAUCAGUCCUGACUGAUUGUUUAACAGCUGCCCAAUAAUGUUGUUAAAAGUAAGAAAGAAAACCACACAUUAUUCAUACAUUUGUACCUAUGUAUGUUUCGUUUCUCUUCACCUUCCAAGAGAUCAUAAAUUCAGAAAUGAACAACAGUGUUUGGGGAAGAUAAUCCACAGAACAUCCCCAGAAACCCAGCAAAAUAACAAGAAGAAUUGAUCAAAAAUGCUCACUAGUGUAUGGAAUCAAGAAAAAAAAUGUUGUUUAACUCUUGUGUACUCAUUAAACCAAAAGCACAUGAAGCUUUUUUAAUUUGCCAGUUUCAGGUAAAAUGCACUGUAAAGCUCACUUUGUUGAUAUUUUUUGCUUUUCAUAGGUAAUUGAGAGAUAUGAAGAACAAUGAGAAACUCAUGCCCUGUUAGAACUGCUCUUUACAAGCACAAUUACACCAGAGGAACAAAAUUACAACCUAUUCAUUCAGGUCUCUGUAGGUACAGAAGGGUAAAGGAGGUUUAUAAUGGGGUAUGGACAAUGUCAGAGCACUGAGGAUGCACUAGCUUGGAAGGGGAAACCAUUUAACUCUAAAUAUCUUCUGAGAUAAAAGUACAGAGGGAUUGUGAGGAUAACAUGCACUUUAGGUUCAUCUUCAACUGAACAUUUUGAAUGGGUAAACAGGUAAAAGGCAACUAUGCUCUGUAAUAUUAACACAUGAAAAUUGUUUUGGGGGUUUGUUUUGGUUUUAUGCAGGAGAUUGUUUUGUGAGACAGAGCCUUUUAUAGAAAGACUAUUUUUGUUUUCUUUGGCAUUUCCAUUUAUAAAAACUACUCAUGUUUACACACACAGACACACACACACGCGCACACACACACACACACACACACACACACACAAUAUUGUUCAUUAUAUAUUGUUCAUCUGGUAAGGAAGAAAUAAAAAAAGAAAUUGAUACCAGGCUGCAUAUGUGUUCAAAAGCUUAGUGAAUUCUUCAAGCACUGCUGUGGAUCAUAUUUCAUUAAACUGCAAUAAAAAAAUCCUUUUUUACCUUGUCUUUGUGUGUUCUGAGGU